This 477-nucleotide ribosomal RNA is filed under the name uncultured bacterium. Its description in RNAcentral is "partial 16S ribosomal RNA". It matches the Rfam family "Bacterial small subunit ribosomal RNA", at positions 30 to 507 of the family's 1533-position model. The record is from RNAcentral.
AUUGAACGCUGGCGGCAUGCCUUACACAUGCAAGUCGAACGGUAACAGGUUAAGCUGGCGAGUGGCGAACGGGUGAGUAAUGUAUCGGAACGUGCCCAGUCGUGGGGGAUAACUGCUCGAAAGAGCAGCUAAUACCGCAUACGACCUGAGGGUGAAAGCGGGGGAUCGCAAGACCUCGCGCGAUUGGAGCGGCCGAUAUCAGAUUAGGUAGUUGGUGAGGUAAAGGCUCACCAAGCCGACGAUCUGUAGCUGGUCUGAGAGGACGACCAGCCACACUGGGACUGAGACACGGCCCAGACUCCUACGGGAGGCAGCAGUGGGGAAUUUUCGACAAUGGGCGCAAGCCUGAUCCAGCAAUGCCGCGUGCGGGAAGAAGGCCUUCGGGUUGUAAACCGCUUUUGUCAGGGAAGAAAAGGUUCUGGCUAAUACAUGGGACUCAUGACGGUACCUGAAGAAUAAGCACCGGCUAACUACGUG